GUCCAGACUCCUACGGGAGGCAGCAGUGGGGAAUAUUGCACAAUGGGGGAAACCCUGAUGCAGCAACGCCGCGUGAGUGAAGAAGUAUUUCGGUAUGUAAAGCUCUAUCAGCAGGGAAGAAAAUGACGGUACCUGAGUAAGAAGCCCCGGCUAACUACGUGCCAGCAGCCGCGGUAAUACGUAGGGGGCAAGCGUUAUCCGGAUUUACUGGGUGUAAAGGGAGCGUAGACGGCGAUGCAAGUCUGAAGUGAAAGCCCGGGGCUCAACCCCGGGACUGCUUUGGAAACUGUAUGGCUGGAGUGCUGGAGAGGCAAGCGGAAUUCCUAGUGUAGCGGUGAAAUGCGUAGAUAUUAGGAAGAACACCAGUGGCGAAGGCGGCUUGCUGGACAGUAACUGACGUUGAGGCUCGAAAGCGUGGGGAGCAAACAGGAUUAGAUACCCCAGUA
This 446-nucleotide ribosomal RNA is filed under the name uncultured bacterium. RNAcentral describes it as "bacterial SSU rRNA". It matches the Rfam family "Bacterial small subunit ribosomal RNA", at positions 329 to 792 of the family's 1533-position model. The record is from RNAcentral.